This 253-nucleotide ribosomal RNA is filed under the name uncultured bacterium. Its description in RNAcentral is "partial 16S ribosomal RNA". It matches the Rfam family "Bacterial small subunit ribosomal RNA", at positions 524 to 776 of the family's 1533-position model. The record is from RNAcentral.
UACAGAGGUCUCAAGCGUUGUUCGGAUUCAUUGGGCGUAAAGGGUGCGUAGGCGGCCUGCUAAGUCGGAUGUGAAAUCCCUCGGCUCAACCGAGGAACUGCAUCCGAUACUGGCGGGCUUGAAUCCGGGAGAGGGAUGUGGAAUUCCAGGUGUAGCGGUGAAAUGCGUAGAUAUCUGGAGGAACACCGGUGGCGAAGGCGGCAUCCUGGACCGGUAUUGACGCUGAGGCGCGAAAGCUAGGGGAGCAAACGGG